This is a long non-coding RNA of Perognathus longimembris pacificus (Pacific pocket mouse), 298 nucleotides long. RefSeq lists it as uncharacterized. Lineage: Eukaryota; Metazoa; Chordata; Mammalia; Rodentia; Heteromyidae. The transcript is spliced from 3 exons. The record is from RefSeq and is a predicted model, not a curated record.
AGCACUCUGCCACUCAGCCACGUUCUCAGUCCCUCAGCCCCUUGAGUAGCUAUGAUUACAGGCAUGAUCCACAGGAGCCCAGCUAAGAGUUGUCUUUUUUUAGUAAUAGAAAUAAAUGUUUCCUAUUUGAUUAUAGCAGUGUUACACAACUUACACACAUUUGUCACACCUAAUCAGAACUGUUAAUAAAUUAAUUUUAUUGUGUGUAGCUUAUACCUUAGUAAUAAAAAAAAGAAAUUAAAGGUUCAAAGAUCUUUAACACAAUCUGAAAAAAUUUUAAAGAUUUGAAAGUAGAAGG